This 455-nucleotide ribosomal RNA is filed under the name Entamoeba histolytica. Its description in RNAcentral is "SSU rRNA". It matches the Rfam family "Eukaryotic small subunit ribosomal RNA", at positions 571 to 1046 of the family's 1831-position model. Lineage: Eukaryota; Evosea; Mastigamoebida; Endamoebidae. The record is from RNAcentral.
CAGCCGCGGUAAUUCCAGCUCCAAUAGUGUAUAUUAAAGUUGCUGUGAUUAAAACGCUCGUAGUUGAAUUAAAAUGUGAUUUUAUACAUUUUGAAGACUUUGCAUAAGUAAAGUUUCUAGAAAUGUUAAAUUAAAAUCAAAGAAGGAAACAAUUCAAGUAAUUGAGUUGUUAUUACUUUGAAUAAAAUAAGGUGUUUAAAGCAAAACAUUAUGUUAAUGAAUAUUCAAGCAUGGGACAAUGCUGAGGGGAUGUCAAUAAGACAUUUCGAGAGAAGGAUUAAAAGGAACAAUUGGGGUGAUUCAGAAAAUAACGGGAGAGGUGAAAAUCCAUGAUCGCUAUAAGAUGCACGAGAGCGAAAGCAUUUCACUCAACUGUGUCCAUUAAUCAAGAACGAAAGUUAGGGGAUCGAAGACGAUCAGAUACCGUCGUAGUCCUAACUAUAAACGAUGUCAAC